Long non-coding RNA from Pipra filicauda (Wire-tailed manakin), 730 nucleotides. RefSeq lists it as uncharacterized. Lineage: Eukaryota; Metazoa; Chordata; Aves; Passeriformes; Pipridae. The record is from RefSeq and is a predicted model, not a curated record. The transcript is spliced from 4 exons.
GUCUGAAAGCGAAUAAGAGGCCAAGCUGGUAAAUGGACUGAAGAAUACUCCUGAAGCCUACAGGGACUCCCUAGAUUUCAGUUUUGUGUCUUUUACAGAGCCUUCACCUAUGAAUCAAAGGGAAAAAAGAUCACUGGCACUUCUGUAUUUCAAGGCAAUGAAGUGAUCAAGAUGGAGGAGAAGCUCCAGUGAUUUGAAAAACUCCAGUCAGUAAAACAGAAACAGAGAACGGGAAUUUAAGACUUAAAAGUGUUUCAGAAAUAGAUUACAAGAAAGGCAGAACUGAAAUGUUUUGCCCAUGAAAAGAACUCAAGUAUGCUAAGUCUUUUCCUGGAUACUACAUUUAUGGCAUCAGAAGAAUUUUUGCAUGGAAAGGGAAACAAACACACGGAAGGCAGAAGGGAUCAAGCAAGAUGGCAAGGAAGCAGACCCAGAAGGAGCAUAAGACAAAAUCCAAGAACUUUAAAACAUGCAUAUUUCCUAGUUUUAGGGAAGUGAAGGAAACACCAAUGGCUUACAUCAUGUGUCAACACAAAAACAAGCAAAAAGAGUUUAAAAGGAGCAAGAAGUGACUCAUGACUUCAGCAGGACAAAAAUUUUCAGUGUCCCAUAGUUCUACAGGUUUCCCCCCAAUCUUUCUUGCUGAAGACAUCUCAGGUUGUCUUCAUAAUAUCUGCUCUCACAGGGAGAAAUUAUGAAAAAGGAGGCAGGUUUAGGGUACUAAGCCAAA